CCUUCUGCUCCCUCUGCGUUCUCUCUUCCCCGCGGAAAUUAUAUUAUAAGCAAACUCGCGCUUGUGUUUUGGCCUCGACAAACGCGUUUUGUGUUAAAAGAAGUACCGGGAACGGAGAGCGGAUAGGCCCAGACAAACGAAGACUGGGAAGGGAGGGGAAAGUGGGGUCCACAAGUGUAUCAAAACUUCACUAACUACACGUACAUAGAUUGGAUACUGCGUCUUUCUCAACUGUUUCUCUUCUCUUUCUCCAUUUCUCGUUUUUCCAUAGUUUUUCCAAUUACACAUAUUUUUUUGGAGCUCUGCUGCUUAGUUGUUUUUGGAGGAGGUGGGAUGGGGAAUUGCUUCUCCGACGAGGCCGGUGGAAAGGCGGCUGUCGGUGGCACCUCCAGUGCAGCCGGUGGCGGCGCUGCUGCUGCUGCGAAUGAUGCCAUCGAUUACUAUUUCAAGUCUCGUGGUUUCCACGGCAUCUUUUCUCAGAUCGAGGUAGUUACUUCCUUCUGCGUUUCUCCCUCGCUUUUGUAAAUAUUUUAUGUGAUUUCGUUGAUGAGCAUAGAUGAGGAUUGUUUCAUUGUAAUUGGAUCCAGAGCUACUACUUUCUAAAUUCUAUUAAUGACAAGGUUUUUGGAGUUCAUUUUGCAGAUGUUAUGCUCUGAAUUCGGAAACUCAGAGGUCUAGGAGCGGCAUUCUAUAUCUUAAUCUAUAGUAUUUUGUAAAUAGCAGUUUGGAAGUAGCUUUGAUUUUUAGCUUUUUCUUUGAGCGGUUUUUAAUCAAGAUAAAGUCACUGGGAUGCUAGACGAAGAGUUUUUAACUGAACAGAGCAGAGUGUGGGAGUGCUUUUUUAUUUUUCUUAAUAAAUAGCAUUGUAUUGACAUAAGAAUUAAUUUCAUAACUCAUGGAGUAGGACUGUAGGACCAUUGAUUGUUCAGCAUAUGAAAAUUUCUACUGCAUCUUUUGCUCGAGACAACCUUCUGUUUUAUCAAAAGCUUUUAUGGUAGAUUCUGAAAAUGUUAGGUUAAUUUUGGCGGUCAUUAUUGACUUAUUAAAGCCAUGGUUCUCCUUAAAUUAACAACUACUAUAAAAUUGGACUGGGAGUCUAAUGAUUCAUACUUCAGAGUGUUGAGCUCGGUAGGUGAUUAGUUGGGAAGAAUAUUAGACUUGAUACCAGCAACGGGAUUUUACCAAUUGAAUGCAAUUAGUAAAUUAUUUUCCUUGUUUGACCACUUGCAUCAAAUUUUAUUCCUAGCUUACUCUUUCCUUAUCUUUUCUUUUUUCCUUUACUCCUUGUAAAACCAAUAUACGUGCAGCUAUCAUUUUCGGCUACAAAGUUGCGCGACCGGGAUGUGCUAUCUAAGGUUUGUUUGCCUGACUUCUUACUACACUUUGAUCUCAAAUUUUCUUUCAUGGGCCACUAAGCGGUAUGAUUAAUCAUGAAUUUAUGGUUUGUUGUAAAAAAUUGCUUAAGUUGUGUAAAUCUUUUAUAUGCAGCUAUGUAAUUUUCCAUUGAAAACUUUUUCCCCUUUUUUUCCUGUGUUUUAAGACACCAGAUUUUAUUUGUUCUUGGGUUCUACUUUGACUGCCUUUUGCAUUUCAAUGUAAAAAUGUAUGUGGCAUACUGUUACAAUGGAUUCUUGACUAAUAUUGGGUUAUAAAAUUGAAUUCAAGAAUUCAGAAGUUGUGUGACAAUUUUUAUAUAUUUGAAAGUCAGCAUCUUAAGCCAAUAACAUAUGGCCAUGUGUACAAUGGAUUUCGUUAAAGUGGAAUUAUCUUGUAAACAUUUAGCAAAGUAAUUUACUUGUGGAAUUAAGCAUUAAGCUAUAGCCUUGAAUCAUUUUGUAGAGGUGCCAUCAUGUAAUUGUUUGUGAACCUCAUUAAUUUGAAGUACCAUUAACAUGUAGAAAUUACAUGAUCAUCUCAAUGAAUUCAUAGUGCCCUUGGCACAAAGGGUCUUGUUUGGUGAGCAUCCCUAUACACAGUUAAAAAACCAUAUUAAACUUAACCAGUAUUACAUGACUGUUGGCUAGAGACAAUCACCAAGUGUCACUUCUUGAACGGUUAAUGGAAUGGGUUUGUCUAUGUGGCCAGGAGCCUAAAGCCAGAUUAUAUUAUUAGUUACAUAAGUAAUCUUUUGAUGUGGCAAUGGAGGGAAUUACAAGUGCCCCAAGGCACUGAAGAAAAUUAUUUGGUGAGUACUGUUGAAGAGGUUAAAAUAUCAUAUUAUAUGGCAGAAUACAGGUUUGGCUUUGGUGCCAUUUUGUUAUGCCCUAAUAAUACCUAAGAAGAUUAUGGAUAACAUUAUUGUGCAAAUUAUUCUUAAUGUAAUAUCAGAUCUUUAUCCUAGAACUUAUUUUUCUCUAACAUGGCGUUAUAUCUAGUAAUUUUGGUCCUUGAAUAUGGAUUUUAUUAACUGUGCAUUAUGACUUGUCUCUUUUCAGGCACCUAAGAUAAUAAGACUAUGCUUGGCAUUAGUGUAAUCACCAUAAGUCCAUAACAUCAUCUUUAUUCAGUGCCAUUCCAAAUUCUGCUCCAGAUUCAUUAACUAUUGGGAACUUAUCAUUAGAUUCAUAGAAGGUUGGUCAACACAAGAAGUGGCAUCUAGCAUGUAGCUAUAGCUUUGAAGUUUUGGCCAUUGUAUGGUAUACUAAUUUGUCAUCCAGCAUUGCACGCCAUCUCAAUUUUUUAUUUUUUCAGUUCAUCACUUCUUCAGUCUGGGAUUAACUUGUUUGCACUGAGUCCUCGUAGAAUGAAUCUGAAGUUGCUGUGCCAAUUAGUCGAGUCAUUAUCAGAACAUUGUUAUAUUCCUGAUAAGGAGGUUUUCGUUUUAAUAUGCUUCUCUUGUACGUGGGCAGAAACUCCUCUGGAGCUUUUCUUGGCAAUAAUUUUUUAUACAUAAAAAAGGGCUAUAAAAUAAGAUUAAUUUGAAUGUUAUGAUUAACAGAGACUUUAUAUUAAAUUGUGUAAAAUGGCCCCAGAUGUUUUUACCGUUUUGAAAAUGUUUUCUAUCAUCUGUUUAUUCUCAUAUAAUUUUCUUUGCUUUAGAGUGAUCCUAUGGUGGUUGUUUAUACAAAAGCAAAAGAUGGACCACCUACUGAAGUUUUCCGCACUGAAGUAGUUCUUAAUUCAUUGAAUCCCACAUGGAUCAUGAAAUAUGCUAUCACAUUCCAGUUUGAAGUUGUACAAACUUUGCUGUUUCAUGUAUAUGACGUUGACACUCAAUUUCACAAUGUAGAUGUUAAGAUGAUCAAGCUAGAUGAGCAACAAUUUCUUGGUGAAGCGUCUUGUGCAUUGUCUGAGGUAUAACAUGAAGGCCGUUCUAAUUUACAUCAUACUUUCUUGUAGAAUUACUAGAUAAUGAGAACUUCAUUCUUCUAUUGAAAUGUGAAAUCCUGUAAUUUUAGUCUGGCAAGAGAGAUCCUUAUAUUCCAUUUUGGAGGCUGACAUCUAAUGCUAUAUUUUGUAGACCAUAGCAGAAUGUAAUGGAAUAAAGAAAAUAGAAUAAUGAAAAGGAAAUUCAUCACAUUCCAUUAUGCUCCAUAACAGUCGUACAAAACAUAUUAUAAGAAUUUAAGUACCUUCUGUUCUUAGCGACCAGGAUACAUUUAUAAAAAUUAAAAUUUGAAUUUGUUGAUAAUCUGCAUGGCUACUUUGUUUUUACUUUCCAUGCAGAUUUUGACCAAAUCAAAUAGGUCUCUGACCUUAGAUCUCGUCCAAAAAGAAGAUUCUACAAUAUCAAGCCAUCCCCAUCGUGGGCAACUUCUUGUGCAUGCUGAGGAAUGCAUUAGCUCAAAGACUACAACUGAGAUGAUAUUAAGGUGUUCAGAUUUGGAGCACAAGGAUCUGUUCUCAAGAAUUAACCCUUUCCUGGUAAUCUCAAAAACUGUUGAGAGUGGGAUCCCAAUUCCUGUGUGUAAAACAGAAGUCCUAAAGAAUGAUCACAACCCAAUAUGGAAACCAAUCUUUUUGAAUAUUCAACAAGUUGGAAGCAAGGUAAAAGGAAUAUUGCAUCUGGGGUUAGAAUCUGUAUCACCUAGCAGAAAUCCAGCAUCCUGUUGUCCACUACAUCCUUCUGAAGAAAAAUGAAUAACACAUCGUUAAUGGAAAAUGAAAUUUUAAACAGGCUUUGUGUGGACCACAAGGUUUUGGGUGGUUAUUUGAGUCCAGGGACCACUAUGCCACUGACAAUUUUACUUUAUGACAUAUGCAAACACUAAUUUCUUUGCAUUUAAAAACCAAACAAUGAAAUUGGUCCUUGCCUUUCUGUUAGCAAUCUCUUUUUCUUGUCAAUUUCAAUUAGAUAGAAACAAUAAGAUAGAAAGGGAAUGUACUAUAUCAAAAUGGAGCUCCAAAAUUGGCAAGCUUCUUCUUUGAAUGUGCAGAUUUUGUUUGAUGAUAUUUGUUGUUUAGAUUCCUUGCUUUGUCAUCUGCUUAUGGUUAAGUUCUGAGUUUUGUUUUCUGAUUCAACCUGCAGGAUAGCCCACUGGUGAUAGAGUUCUACAACUUCAAUAGUAGUGGCAAGCAUGAUUUGAUUG
This 4529-nucleotide unclassified non-coding RNA is filed under the name Hevea brasiliensis (rubber tree). The record is from RNAcentral. Lineage: Eukaryota; Viridiplantae; Streptophyta; Magnoliopsida; Malpighiales; Euphorbiaceae.